Molecule: ribosomal RNA, 745 nt
Filed under: uncultured bacterium
Lineage: Bacteria
Description: bacterial SSU rRNA
Rfam family: Bacterial small subunit ribosomal RNA
Source: RNAcentral
ACGCUGGCGGCAGGCCUAACACAUGCAAGUCGAGCGGUAGAGAGAAGCUUGCUUCUCUUGAGAGCGGCGGACGGGUGAGUAAUGCCUAGGAAUCUGCCUGGUAGUGGGGGAUAACGUUCGGAAACGGACGCUAAUACCGCAUACGUCCUACGGGAGAAAGCAGGGGACCUUCGGGCCUUGCGCUAUCAGAUGAGCCUAGGUCGGAUUAGCUAGUUGGUGAGGUAAUGGCUCACCAAGGCGACGAUCCGUAACUGGUCUGAGAGGAUGAUCAGUCACACUGGAACUGAGACACGGUCCAGACUCCUACGGGAGGCAGCAGUGGGGAAUAUUGGACAAUGGGCGAAAGCCUGAUCCAGCCAUGCCGCGUGUGUGAAGAAGGUCUUCGGAUUGUAAAGCACUUUAAGUUGGGAGGAAGGGUUGUAGAUUAAUACUCUGCAAUUUUGACGUUACCGACAGAAUAAGCACCGGCUAACUCUGUGCCAGCAGCCGCGGUAAUACAGAGGGUGCAAGCGUUAAUCGGAAUUACUGGGCGUAAAGCGCGCGUAGGUGGUUUGUUAAGUUGGAUGUGAAAUCCCCGGGCUCAACCUGGGAACUGCAUUCAAAACUGACUGACUAGAGUAUGGUAGAGGGUGGUGGAAUUUCCUGUGUAGCGGUGAAAUGCGUAGAUAUAGGAAGGAACACCAGUGGCGAAGGCGACCACCUGGAAUAAUACUGACACUGAGGUGCGAAAGCGUGGGGAGCAAAC